This is a long non-coding RNA of Lycium barbarum (goji berry), 1358 nucleotides long. RefSeq lists it as uncharacterized. NCBI's taxonomy places the organism in Eukaryota, Viridiplantae, Streptophyta, Magnoliopsida, Solanales, Solanaceae. The record is from RefSeq and is a predicted model, not a curated record. The transcript is spliced from 2 exons.
GAAAUUUGUUCCAAUUAGACUCUUUUUACUGAGAUGACAUGAUGAGUGUAAUAUACUCAAAAUCAGGGCGUGAGAGGUUCACUUAAGCAAUUUUUAUUUUAUUUUUCUCUUCUUCUUCCCCAUUUUUCCAUCCACUAUCUCCCACCAUUUCUGCAAACUUAAACUCCUUCCAUGAUGGUCAAAUUUGGUCUCUUCAGUUGCAAAUUGAAAGAAGAUGGGUCAUUCCAAUCAAAGUUUCCUCUUCCAUAUCCCGAUUUCUCUUCAUCCCUUUAAGCCAUUCCCACUAAUUCAAUUGAAAACAAUAUAUCAUCACCUUCGUUGCUUUACAGUAUUCAUCCAUAUGGACUACUGAUUAGAUUUCACAACGAGACUAUUUUUGGAUUUCCAAGAGUCAAUCGCCUUAAUAUAGUUUCUUAUUUAUUGCUAUUGUUUUUGCUUCUUCUCUUUGAGGAUUGAAUAUCGGAGCAGCAAAUUGAAGAAGAGAUUUGGUAUUUUUGUUUGUGAAAUUCAUAGAAGAGACUGGAGAAAAAAGGAAUUAUUACUAGGCUUCCACAGUUCCGGUCCAGUCUAAUAGCCCAUAGAAGAUGGAUAACAAAUCAAUGUCGCUUCAACGGCAGGUUUAGAUGAUGAAGGAUUUUGUGAAGAUCCAAACAAAAAUAAUGAAGGAAGAUAUUUCCAAGCUUAAUGGAAGGAAUAACUUUUGAAAGCUAUGGAAGGAAGCUUGCCAAAAUCUGGAAGGAAGAUCUGCUACUUCAAGGGAAGAAUAUUACUCUGAUUUUAUGGAAAAAAAUUCUACAAAAGGAAAACAUCAAGAUCAAUAUGUUAUUUAGGAAAGGUCCAAAUUUCAUGGAGUAUCAAGAUAUGCUAGAAGUUUCAAGUGUACAAAAGAGUUCACAUUUUGAGUGAUUAAAGUUUAAAUUCAGAUAGAUAUGAUUAUAUUGGAAUUAAUAAAAAUCUAGACCAAGGUCAAACGGAGAGGAUCUUGAUAUUCUCUUGCACUUAAAUAAGAUCUCAUAUUUGUACAAUCCAGAGAGAAAGAGUUCAGAGAAACUAUUCGAGAGAAUAUUAGUUACUCUGGAAAGAAGAUAUCCUAUGAAAGGAAAGAUCUCUAGAGAUGUUCAAAUUUGAAUAUAUUUGCUUCAAGUUUGGAAGGAAGGUGAUGAAUUUACUAUAAUUUUAAGGAAAGAUUAUUCCGAAGAUUCCCUGAGUUACUAUAAGCUUUGUUAUGGGAAUAAAUUAUAUUUCUAAGACCUAUUAUGAAAAGGAAAGAAUCUCAAAUUAUUACUGUAUGAUUGAGGAUUCCCCAAGUGUUCCAUAAUUUAUGGAAGUAAAUGAAGAAGCAUAUUUGGAAAAGAAAA